This 403-nucleotide ribosomal RNA is filed under the name Leifsonia sp. SCN 70-46. RNAcentral describes it as "bacterial SSU rRNA". It matches the Rfam family "Bacterial small subunit ribosomal RNA", at positions 1 to 398 of the family's 1533-position model. Lineage: Bacteria; Bacillati; Actinomycetota; Actinomycetes; Micrococcales; Microbacteriaceae. The record is from RNAcentral.
CAUUUAUGGAGAGUUUGAUCCUGGCUCAGGAUGAACGCUGGCGGCGUGCUUAACACAUGCAAGUCGAACGGUGAACGAGGGAGCUUGCUCCCUCCGGAUCAGUGGCGAACGGGUGAGUAACACGUGAGCAAUCUGCCCCGAACUCUGGGAUAAGCGUUGGAAACGACGUCUAAUACCGGAUACGAGCUGCGAAGGCAUCUUCUGCAGUUGGAAAGAAUUUCGGUUCGGGAUGAGCUCGCGGCCUAUCAGCUAGUUGGUGAGGUAAUGGCCCACCAAGGCGACGACGGGUAGCCGGCCUGAGAGGGUGACCGGCCACACUGGGACUGAGACACGGCCCAGACUCCUACGGGAGGCAGCAGUGGGGAAUAUUGCACAAUGGGCGCAAGCCUGAUGCAGCAACGCC